Molecule: long non-coding RNA, 535 nt
Filed under: Ananas comosus (pineapple)
Lineage: Eukaryota; Viridiplantae; Streptophyta; Magnoliopsida; Poales; Bromeliaceae
Description: long non-coding RNA (ACOM_LNC010226)
Source: RNAcentral
AAAAUAAUUCGCAGAACAGCGAAGAGAAGUAGGCAAAACGAAAACAUAACUGGUAAUCACAUUCUGGUAAAGAAAAGUUUAACUAUCAUUAGAAUCACUAAUUAGAGAUGUCAACUGGCCGGAUUCGGGGUGGAUUUUCAAACACCCGAACCCGAACCCGAACCCGACUCCAAACUUGAGACCCAAACCCGAACCCGAACCCGACGGAUUUUAAAAAUCCAUAUCCAAACCCGAACUCGACCAAAAAUUCGAAACCCAAACCUGAACCCGAACCUAAAAAGUUAAAUUCGAAACAAUUUUUUUUUUUCAAUAUUUCAAAAUAUAUUAUAUUAAAUAUAAAUUUUUAAAAUACAAAUUCAAAUAUAACAUCAAAUUUAUAUAUAUAUAUAUAUAUAUAAUACAAAAUAAAUUCGGGUUCGGGUUGAGUACAGUCAAAAUCCAUAUCCGUCAGGUUUCUAUUUUUGAUAUCCUCAUAUCCAUAUCCGAAUCCACAUCCAUUUAGUAUCGGAUAUAUCCGUUUCAUUCGGGUUCGGGU